RNAcentral lists this ribosomal RNA (540 nucleotides) under uncultured bacterium. RNAcentral describes it as "bacterial SSU rRNA". It matches the Rfam family "Bacterial small subunit ribosomal RNA", at positions 337 to 867 of the family's 1533-position model. The record is from RNAcentral.
UCCUACGGGAGGCAGCAGUGAGGAAUUUUGCGCAAUGGGGGAAACCCUGACGCAGCAACGCCGCGUGAGUGAAGAAGGCCCUUGGGUCGUAAAGCUCUGUCAACUGGGAAGAAGUUGUUAUUGUUUAAUAAAUGAUAGCAUUGACGGUACCAGUGGAGGAAGCGCCGGCUAACUCCGUGCCAGCAGCCGCGGUAACACGGGGGGCGCAAGCGUUAUUCGGAAUUAUUGGGCGUAAAGGGCGCGUAGGCGGUUCUGUCGGUCAGAUGUGAAAGCCCGGGGCUCAACCCUGGAAGUGCAUUUGAAACAGCAGAACUUGAGUACGGGAGAGGAAAGCGGAAUUCCCGGUGUAGAGGUGAAAUUCGUAGAUAUCAGGAGGAACACCGAUGGCGAAGGCAGCUUUCUGGACCGAUACUGACGCUGAGGCGCGAAGGCGUGGGUAGCGAACAGGAUUAGAUACCCUGGUAGUCCACGCAGUAAACGAUGUUCACUAGGUGUAGCGGAUAUUAAAACAAGCUGUGCCGCAGCUAACCCAUUAAGUGA